GCUGUAGCUCUAUGGUAGAGCAUCUGCUUUGCAUGCAGAAGGUCUCAGGUCCAAUUCCUAGUUAAAGCU
Podarcis lilfordi (Lilford's wall lizard) is the source of this 69-nucleotide non-coding RNA. The record is from the annotation of a GenBank genome assembly. NCBI's taxonomy places the organism in Eukaryota, Metazoa, Chordata, Lepidosauria, Squamata, Lacertidae.